This 296-nucleotide long non-coding RNA is filed under the name Trifolium pratense (red clover). Its description in RNAcentral is "long non-coding RNA (TPRA_LNC001381)". Lineage: Eukaryota; Viridiplantae; Streptophyta; Magnoliopsida; Fabales; Fabaceae. The record is from RNAcentral.
GCUUGGGAGGAUGAAUUGUUAGAAGAGUGUCGUGCUUUGUUUCAUAACAUUUUUUUUUGCAGAAUAAUGCUUCUGGCAGGUGGUUAAUUAUGGAGAACUGCAAACUCUGAGUCUUUUUCGAUCAAGGAAGCUUAUUUAUCUCUGAGGAGUGGAUGAGGCGCUAUCGAGGAGGGACAUGCUGAUUUUAUUUGGAUCAAAAGUGUCCCUUUGAAGGUUACAGUCUUUGCUUGGCGUUUUUUGGCGGAUCGACUAGCAAUGAAUGCUAAUUUAAUAAGAGAGGAAUUAUGAAUGUUGAC